RNAcentral lists this long non-coding RNA (1136 nucleotides) under Piliocolobus tephrosceles (Ugandan red Colobus). RNAcentral describes it as "lncRNA (ENSPTEG00000004426.1)". Lineage: Eukaryota; Metazoa; Chordata; Mammalia; Primates; Cercopithecidae. The record is from RNAcentral.
CAGAAAGGCAGUAGCAAGUAUGACAUAUAAAAACGAAAGUGAUAGUAGUAAUUCGAACAAAGUUAGGUUAGAUGGUAAUCCCAAAAUCGAUUAUUUUCAUAAUAAAGAUAAUCUAUUAAUAAGGACGUAUGCUUGGCAAAUUGAAAAUCCAAUAGGUGCACUGUUUUUAGUUCAUGGCUUUAAUAGUCACGUACGUUUCGAAUAUAUGAAGCAUAAUGUAAUAAUAGAAAAUUAUGAAAAGGUUACACUAAAAGAUAUAAAUAAUUUUUAUAUAUAUGAAAAUAGUUGGAUUGACCAUUUAAAUAAAACAGGUUUUUCAGUUUAUGCGUUAGAUUUGCAAGGUCAUGGUGAAUCAGAAGGGUAUAAGAAUAUGAAACUAAAUGUAAGGAAGUUUGACGAUUUUGUUUAUGAUUUUAUUCAAUACAUGAAUAGAAUACAUGAUACAUUAUGUUUAAUAAACAUAAAAAGUAAUGACACAACCUCUAUCCAUGACAAUAUAACUAGUACAAAGAUACCUCCUUUUUAUUUGAUGGGUUUAUCCAUGGGUGGUAAUAUAGUAUUUAGAACAUUACAAUUGUUGAAUAAGUCUAAAGACACUUAUAACAAAUUAAAUAUAAAAGGAUGUGUUUCUUUAGCUGGUAUGUUAUCUAUAGACAUAUUAUUAAAAAAACCUAUUUAUAAAUAUUUUUUUUUACCGUUUAGUAAAUUUUUUGCUAUGGUUAUACCUUAUUUCAGAAUAGGACCGGGUAUAACACUAAAACGUUUUCCUUUUAUUAACGAAUUAACUAAAAUCGACACUUAUAUUUCUCAUAAACCAGCUACAUGUAAUUUACAAUAUGAAUGCUUAAAUGCGAUAGAAAAUAUAAACAUUGAUGUCAAUUUUAUACCAGAUGAUAUACCGUUAUUAUUUAUACACUCAAAAGAUGACACAUUGUGUGAUUAUGAAGGAGUAAAAAUAUUUUAUGAUAAAAUUAAAUCCAAAAACAAAGAAUUUUUUACAUUAGAAGGAAUGGACCAUUUAAUAACUAUGGAGCCAGGCUAUGAGAAUGUUAUGAAUAAAGUUCUUGAACUUCUUUCGAAAACAUCCGAAAGUGCAUGAUUCGUUACAUAUUAUAUACAUGUGUGUGUAUACGGCC